This is a long non-coding RNA of Fukomys damarensis (Damara mole-rat), 1718 nucleotides long. NCBI's taxonomy places the organism in Eukaryota, Metazoa, Chordata, Mammalia, Rodentia, Bathyergidae. The record is from Ensembl.
GAGAGCCUCUGGUACUCACUACACUCUGGCACUGCCUUGGAGAUAUUUAAGGCCAUAGCAGCUCACUCCUGCUCAAGCUCAGGGCUGUAGUUCAUGGCCAGCGUGCUCUUCGAGAAAAUGAGCGUGCAGAGGCCUUUUCACUGGAUCAGCCUCUGCCCCAAACUGUGCAGCAUGCUCGAGAAAACAGCAAGUCAGCCAAUAACCAAUCUAUUGAGAAGAAUUUUCUGCAUCCCAGACCCUCAAGGACCAGAAGGGUGGAGGAAGUUAAGAUGUGGUUUUGGUCGCAGAGGUCACCUUCUUUAGCAGUACAGCCUGUAAUACUCAUAAAGCAGCCACAAAUCAACUGUGCUGGGCUUUGUGCUGGAUGCUUUCAUAAAGGGCCCUUCAUUUUGUUCAGUGAUUUUUAUGUGUCUAGCAUGUACUAAGCACGUUUUAUACCUAAUCUCAUUUCAUUCUCUGGGCAUGUUUUCCCCUUUUUAUAGGCCAAGGGUCACAUGAUUCCCCUGAAGUUACCCUGUUGGUGAAUAACAGAGCGGGGUCCCACAUUUUCUGAUAAGGCCCAUGGGUAUCUGUGGGAUGCCAGGCUGCCAGUCUGUACAGGGCGUGAGCACCUUCUGAUAAGCCACACUGUGGGUGGGGACAGGGGCAAGAGGCUCCUUCAGGACAGGUGGGAGCUGGAGGGUCUCAGAGGGGCCUGGCCUCCGUCUCUGUGGUCAGGUGCUUUGUUAGUCUGGGAAUAAGUGGGAGGUGUCGGUCGGUCUGUCUGGAAAGCUGGCUCUGGCAAACCCCAGUGGUAGCACCGACUGGCAAGGGGAGCUCUGUUGUGGAUGGGUUGGGAGAAGACAAUUCCUAGGGAGAGUGAGCGGUAGGGAGGCACCCCGCACCCUAACCCUGGUGGCUCAGCUCCGUGGCCAGUCUGGCUCCUGCAGCACCCUCUGCCUGGCGAGGAGGUGAAAAGGGCCACAUUGCGGGCCACUCAGGGACCCCCCGUACUCUCCCCUGGGGCAAGGGUAAGAAGAUCAGUGUCCUGGUUUGCUUUUUCUCCCUCGAGUCUCCACUCCCCUCUCUCUUUCCUGUCUCUGUUUACAUCUUUCUUUCUUCAUCCGUCUGUCCACCCAUCUAACCAUCCGCCCGCCAUCCAUCCAUCCAUCUGUCCCUCCAUCAAUCCAUGUCUCUAUCUCUGGAUCUGCUCAUCCCAGUCAUAGUACAGAGGUAUUUAGGGUGAGGAAAACUCCCCGAGGGCUUAAUUUUCCUGUAGCUGGCUCUGGUCAUGGCCAAACCGUUGAAUUUCCUGAGUCAGGGCUCAGUCUUUCCAUCUGUGAACCAGUAGAGUUGGCCAGGAAAACCCCAUGGGCCCAUUUGAACUCUGGUCCUGAAUAAUAGAGAUUCCAGGUCCUUUUCCAGUCCAUCAGCCUAUUUUGUAGCCACAGCUGGACCUUGAGGGCACUGGGGAAGCUGGGAGCCCCGAGGCCCCUUGUGCCUGGUGCCUGGAUGAUUUGUGAGGCCCUCAAAGAGAGCGGCAGGACUGGGGUUUCCCGAGCUGUAGGCGCGCUCUGACAGUCAGAGCUGUAGGCGCGCUCUGACAUCUGCUAUUUCUCACUCCAGUGAGACUGAUUGGCUCCAGAUGGGCCCCUGCAGACUGUCUCCAGCUGUGCAUUUCAUCCAGAGGCCCCUAAGAGAGAGCAGGACACGUGCUGACUGCCAAAGCUGGAGGCCAG